Molecule: ribosomal RNA, 253 nt
Filed under: uncultured bacterium
Lineage: Bacteria
Description: partial 16S ribosomal RNA
Rfam family: Bacterial small subunit ribosomal RNA
Source: RNAcentral
UACAGAGGUCCCAAGCGUUGUUCGGAUUUACCGGGCGUAAAGGGUGCGUAGGCGGUGGGGUAAGUUUGAGGUGAAAGCUCCGGGCUCAACCCCGAAGUGGCCAUGAAUACUAUCCCGCUAGAGGGUUGGAGGGGAGACUGGAAUUCUCGGUGUAGCAGUGAAAUGCGUAGAUCUCGAGAGGAACUCCAGUGGCGAAGGCGGGUCUCUGGACAACAACUGACGCUGAGGCACGAAUGCCAGGGGAGCAAACGGG